Molecule: long non-coding RNA, 461 nt
Organism: Lates calcarifer (barramundi perch)
Lineage: Eukaryota; Metazoa; Chordata; Actinopteri; Centropomidae
Exons: 4
Source: RefSeq, a predicted model, not a curated record
GGAGGUGGAGGGCAACAUGACAUGUAAACCCUCUCAUAUAAAAGAGAGAUGAUGACAGAGGAGAGGAGAGGAGGUGGAGGGCAACAUGACAUGAAAACCCUCUCAUCUAAAAGAGGGGAGGAAAGGGUUUUUUUUUAAAGAGAAGAGGAGAAGACAGGCUGAGGAGAUGAGAAAAGAGAAGAGAAAAAUCAGAGUGGAGGAGAGGAGAGGAGGUGGAGGGCAACAUGACAUGUAAACCCUCUCAUCUAAAAGAGAGGAGAAAAAAUGAGGGAAGAGACAUGAAAAAAGGAAAAAAGACGAGAGGGGAGGAGAGGAGAGGAGGUGGGAGGGCAACAUGUCGUGUAAAACCUCUCAUGUAAAAGGUAAAUAUUUCUUGUUGUUAUCAGAUUUCGUGCAGUGAUGAAUUAUUAUACUUCUGUUUACCUGAUUUCUACAUUUUUGUUUUUUGUCUUUUUUCUUCU